Bombina bombina (fire-bellied toad) is the source of this 1461-nucleotide long non-coding RNA. RefSeq lists it as uncharacterized. The transcript has 2 exons. NCBI's taxonomy places the organism in Eukaryota, Metazoa, Chordata, Amphibia, Anura, Bombinatoridae. The record is from RefSeq and is a predicted model, not a curated record.
UUUAUUAUGUGAUCAAUAAACAAAAUCUUAACAAAGAACCUGGUGUGUUCCUUGACUGUGGGUAUUUGCAUCAGGGAAAACAACAACAGUUUUGGUGCAUUGGCCAGGAAUCACAAUAUUGCAGAAUCCUUUCAGGCAGACACCACUGGACCCUGUGUACACUCAACAAAGACCAAUCAAAACAGUGCCUUGUUUAAAGCUGUUGCUGAAGAAGCUGUGUGUCUCCACUACCCCCGACCAGGCAAAGCUCCUCCGAGAAGACACAGGCCCUCCAGACACCACCUACACCACACUGUAUAUUGCCUCUGAUGCACAUUCUACUAGCUUUGAGGAUAUGAGCUGUGAAAAUGCAGAGGAAAAGAUGGUGGAACUGUUAGAAUUUAUUCGCUUAAAGGACCAAUAAACUCAGUAGAUUUGCAUGAUAAACAACUGCAUGAUAACAAGACAAUGCAAUAACGCUUAGUCUGAACUUCAAAUGAGUAGUAGAUUUUUUUCUGACAAUUUAAAAAGUUAUGUCUAUUUCCACUCCCCCUCUACCAUGUGACAGCCAUCAGCCAAUCACAAAUGCAUAUAAGUACCAUGUGUCAGCCAUCAGCCAAUCACAAAUGCAUAUGCGUUUAUUUUGUGAAUUCUUGCACAUGGUCAGUAAGAGCUGGUGACUCAAAAAAGUUUAAAUAUAAAAAGGCUAAGCACAUUUUGUUAAUAGAAAUAAAUUGGAAAGUUGUUUAAACUUGCAUGCUCUAUCUGAAUAAUGAAAAUUUAAUUUUGACUUGAGUGUCCCUUUAAGUGCCAUACAAGUUACUAAUAUGUGAUACUUUUGUGUGCUCUCACAUAAGUAUCAGAUGAGGGACUGUAAAAUAUUGGAGGUAGCUGCCAUUAUUUUAAGGGGCUUUCAGUCAUAUAGGCCACAUUUGAUAUUUUUGCUUAUGCUUUAUAUGUGUCUAAUUGUCUUGUUUUCUGUCUUGCUUAAAAACUCCUGUCAUGUGAGUAUGUUACCUCUCUGCAUGUAACAUUGGGCCAGGCAACUAUCUGUAGCAUAGCAAACAGCUAAUUACUGUAUUUUUCUCCUUGUCCAAAAUUAGAGAAGUCACAUGAAUGGUUUCCUGUGUAUUAGGCCAGUGCACAGGAAACUAAGCCAGGUCCUUAUUAUAACCAAGGUAGAGUGUAUGCUAUUUCUCUAACAGGUUGCUCAAAUGGAAACUAACUCACUGAAGUGUUCCUCAUUCUCUUAAAAUGUAACAAGUAUAGGAAAACAGAUGUAUAAGAAUAGGAAUUUUGCCCAGCAACCAGAAGUAGGGAUCGUUAAGUCAAAUAUUACUGGUGGGCACACUUUGAUUACAUAACCUAUGUACUCUGUAAGAACUGAAUGCUGACUGCCCAGCUUCAGAAAUUGCUGUCUGCAUAAUUCUCCCAUAUUGAUCAAUUUGGUAUGGGAUCAAUAAACAAAAUCUCAUCAAAGAA